ACUGCUCAGUAACACGUGGACAACCUGCCCUUAGGACGGGGAUAAACCCGGGAAACUGGGUAUAAUACCCGAUAGGUCUCGAUUGCUGGAAUGCAUCGAGAUUUAAAGCUCCGGCGCCUAAGGAUGGGUCUGCGGCCUAUCAGGUAGUAGUGGGUGUAGUGUACCUACUAGCCUACGACGGGUACGGGUUGUGAGAGCAAGAGCCCGGAGAUGGAUUCUGAGACACGAAUCCAGGCCCUACGGGGUGCAGCAGGCGCGAAAACUUUACAAUGCUGGCAACAGCGAUAAGGGAACCUCGAGUGCCAGGUUAUAAAUCUGGCUGUCGAGAUGCCUAAAAAGCAUUUCAUAGCAAGGGCCGGGCAAGACCGGUGCCAGCCGCCGCGGUAACACCGGCGGCUCGAGUGGUAACCGUUAUUAUUGGGUCUAAAGGGUCUGUAGCCGGCCGGAUAAGGCUCUUGAGAAAUCUGGCAGCUUAACUGUCAGGCUUUCAGGAGAUACUGUCUGGCUCGAGGCCGGGAGAGGUGAGAGGUACUUCAGGGGUAGGGGUGAAAUCUUGUAAUCCUUGAAGGACCACCAGUGGCGAAGGCGUCUCACCAGAACGGACCUGACGGCAAGGGACGAAAGCUAGGGGCACGAACCGGAUUAGAUACCCGGGUAGUCCUAGCCGUAAACGAUACUCGCUAGGUGUCGGCCACGGUGCGACCGUUGUCGGUGCCGUAGGGAAGCCGUGAAGCGAGCCACCUGGGAAGUACGGCCGCAAGGCUGAAACUUAAAGGAAUUGGCGGGGGAGCAC
Molecule: ribosomal RNA, 793 nt
Filed under: uncultured archaeon
Lineage: Archaea
Description: bacterial SSU rRNA
Rfam family: Archaeal small subunit ribosomal RNA
Source: RNAcentral